This 85-nucleotide transfer RNA is filed under the name Felis catus (domestic cat). It matches the Rfam family "tRNA". Rfam says of the family: Transfer RNA (tRNA) molecules are approximately 80 nucleotides in length. The record is from Rfam by way of RNAcentral. Lineage: Eukaryota; Metazoa; Chordata; Mammalia; Carnivora; Felidae.
GCCUGGGUGGCUCAGUCGGUGAAGCAUCUGACUUCGGCUCAGGUCAUGAUCUCACGGUUCGUGAGUUCGAGCCCCGCGUCAGGCU